GGUUGUGGCUCAGCAGUAGAGUGGUAGAGCGUUUGCCUGGCAUGUGCAAGGCCCUGGGUUCGAUCCUCAGCACCA
Molecule: transfer RNA, 75 nt
Filed under: Marmota monax (woodchuck)
Lineage: Eukaryota; Metazoa; Chordata; Mammalia; Rodentia; Sciuridae
Description: tRNA.Ala
Source: RNAcentral